Molecule: ribosomal RNA, 485 nt
Filed under: uncultured bacterium
Lineage: Bacteria
Description: partial 16S ribosomal RNA
Rfam family: Bacterial small subunit ribosomal RNA
Source: RNAcentral
GAUUGAACGCUGGCGGCAGGCCUAACCCAUGCAAGUCGAGCGGAUGAAGGGAGCUUGCUCCUGGAUUCAGUGGCGGACGGGUGAGUAAUGCCUAGGAAUCUGCCUGGUAGUGGGGGAUAACGUCCGGAAACGGGCGCUAAUACCGCAUACGUCCUGAGGGAAAAAGUGGGGGAUCUUCGGACCUCACGCUAUCAGAUGAGCCUAGGUCGGAUUAGCUAGUUGGUGGGGUAAAGGCCUACCAAGGCGACGAUCCGUAACUGGUCUGAGAGGAUGAUCAGUCACACUGGAACUGAGACACGGUCCAGACUCCUACGGGAGGCAGCAGUGGGGAAUAUUGGACAAUGGGCGAAAGCCUGAUCCAGCCAUGCCGCGUGUGUGAAGAAGGUCUUCGGAUUGUAAAGCACUUUAAGUUGGGAGGAAGGGCAGUAAGUUAAUACCUUGCUGUUUUGACGUUACCAACAGAAUAAGCACCGGCUAACUUCGUG